RNAcentral lists this RNase P RNA (353 nucleotides) under Phaeoacremonium minimum UCRPA7. Its description in RNAcentral is "Nuclear RNase P". It matches the Rfam family "Nuclear RNase P". Rfam says of the family: Ribonuclease P (RNase P) is a ubiquitous endoribonuclease, found in archaea, bacteria and eukarya as well as chloroplasts and mitochondria. The record is from Rfam by way of RNAcentral. Lineage: Eukaryota; Fungi; Ascomycota; Sordariomycetes; Togniniales; Togniniaceae.
GUCCUCAUCAAUGUCGCGCUUCCAUGCCACACACGGAGAGACUGCUCAUCACAGUCUCUCAUAACCUGCAUGUGAGAAAUUCGGAGUAUGCUUCAACCAUACCUUAAGCCGCUCACGAUUCCGUGGGCGGCCGGGUCUGCCUGUGAGGGUCUGGCGUCAACGACGUUUGCAAUUGGCAUCAGAAAAGCAGGGUUUGGAGGCUUCCAUGUAUACCCGCAAGGGGAAGAUGGGAGCAAUCCAUCUACCUAUGGGAGAGUCAUUGCGAAGCUUGUGCCAAAGUACUUGAGUGCGAUGUGCGACAUGGUGCUCUUUCGAGAGCGCCAUCAUUCAAUUCCGAUUAUUCUGAUGAGGGC